GUCUCUGCGCGGAAAAUUUAACGGGGCUAAGAUACAAACCGAAGCUUAGGCUGCACGUAAGUGCGGGGUAGGGGAGCGUUGUGUAAGCGGAGAAACAGUAGCGUAAGCGGCUGUGGAGUUUACAGAAGUGAGAAUGCCGGAAUGAGUAGCGCGAAUGUGGUGAGAAUCCACAUGGCCGGAAACCUCAGGUUUUUGGAGGAAGGUUCGUCCGCUCCAAGUUAGGCGGGAGCUAAGGUCAGGCCGAAAGGCGUAGCCGAUGCACAGACGGUAGAGAUUCCGUCCCCACCGAAAGAUUUAAGCACAGGGACACUUUUUGAAGGUCGGAGCCAGGUGUUGGUUCUGGUAGUGAUCGAGGGAAAUAUAGUACCGAAGUCCGGCUGGAAGAGAGGCGAGAAAAGCUGUGUGUAUAUCUAAGGUGCCCGUACCGCAAACCGACACAGGUAGGUAGGAAGAAGAUUCUAAGGCCAACGGGAGAAGGGUUGUUAAGGAACUCGGCAAGUUGACCCCGUAACUUCGGGAGAAGGGGUGCUCCAGAGAUGGAGCCGCAGAGAAUCGGCCCAAGCAACUGUUUACCAAAAACACAGGUUUGUGCUAAAUCGAAAGAUGACGUAUACGAGCUGACGCCUGCCCGGUGCUGGAAGGUUAAAAGGAGAUGUGCAAGCAUUGAAUUGAAGCCCCAGUGAACGGCGGCCGUAACUAUAACGGUCCUAAGGUAGCGAAAUUCCUUGUCAGGUAAGUUCUGACCCGCAUGAAAGGCGUAAUGAUUUGGGCACUGUCUCAACAGCCCGCCCGGCGAAAUUGUAGUACCGGUGAAGAUGCCGGUUACCCGCGACAAGACGGAAAGACCCCAUGGAGCUUUACUGUAGCCUGAUAUUGGGUUUCGGUGUUGCAUGCACAGGAUAGAUGGGACACUGGGAAGGCAGUGCUUUGGCAUUGCUGGAGUGGACGUUGGGAUACCAUCCUUGCGACAUUGGAAUUCUAACCUGCGCCUCUGAAUCGAGGCGGGGGACAUUGUCAGGUGGGCAGUUUGACUGGGGCGGUCGCCUCCUAAAAAGUAGCGGAGGCGUUCAAAGGUUCGUUCGAUCUGGACGGAAACCAGAUGAUUGAGUGCAAACGCAUAAACGAGCCUGACUGCGAGACUGACGGGUCGAGCAGAGACGAAAGUCGGAGUUAGUGAUCCGGUGGUAUGUGAGUGGAAAUGCCAUCGCUCAACGGAUAAAA
RNAcentral lists this ribosomal RNA (1221 nucleotides) under human gut metagenome. RNAcentral describes it as "bacterial LSU rRNA". It matches the Rfam family "Bacterial large subunit ribosomal RNA", at positions 1155 to 2461 of the family's 2925-position model. The record is from RNAcentral.